Oryza meridionalis is the source of this 207-nucleotide non-coding RNA. The record is from Rfam. Lineage: Eukaryota; Viridiplantae; Streptophyta; Magnoliopsida; Poales; Poaceae.
AAUAAGUCCACUUUUACACUGUUCGUAUUCAACGUUUGAUCGUUCGUUUUAUUUGAAAAAUUUUUAUGGUUAGUAUUUUAUUGCUAUUGGAUGAUAAAAUAUGAAUAGUAUUUUAUGUGUGACUAAUUUAUUUUAAUUUUUUCAUAAAAUUUUUAAAUAAGAUGAACGGUCAAACAUUGGACAUGGAUACCCACGGCUGCAUUUAUU